RNAcentral lists this ribosomal RNA (429 nucleotides) under Chloroflexota bacterium. Its description in RNAcentral is "Chloroflexi bacterium partial 16S ribosomal RNA". It matches the Rfam family "Bacterial small subunit ribosomal RNA", at positions 355 to 776 of the family's 1533-position model. Lineage: Bacteria; Bacillati; Chloroflexota. RNAcentral also lists the same sequence under 1 other name. The record is from RNAcentral.
UAGGGAAUCUUCGGCAAUGGACGAAAGUCUGACCGAGCAACGCCGCGUGAGUGAAGAAGGUUUUCGGAUCGUAAAACUCUGUUGUUAGAGAAGAACAAGGACGUUAGUAACUGAACGUCCCCUGACGGUAUCUAACCAGAAAGCCACGGCUAACUACGUGCCAGCAGCCGCGGUAAUACGUAGGUGGCAAGCGUUGUCCGGAUUUAUUGGGCGUAAAGCGAGCGCAGGCGGUUUCUUAAGUCUGAUGUGAAAGCCCCCGGCUCAACCGGGGAGGGUCAUUGGAAACUGGGAGACUUGAGUGCAGAAGAGGAGAGUGGAAUUCCAUGUGUAGCGAUGAAAUGCGUAGAUAUAUGGAGGAACACCAGUGGCGAAGGCGGCUCUCUGGUCUGUAACUGACGCUGAGGCUCGAAAGCGUGGGGAGCAAACAGG